CUGGGCGGAUUAGUGGCGAACGGGUGAGUAAUACGUGAGUAACCUGCCCUUGACUCUGGGAUAAGCCUGGGAAACUGGGUCUAAUACUGGAUACUACCGUCCACCGCAUGGUGGGUGGUGGAAAGGGUUUUACUGGUUUUGGAUGGGCUCACGGCCUAUCAGCUUGUUGGUGGGGUAAUGGCUCACCAAGGCGACGACGGGUAGCCGGCCUGAGAGGGUGACCGGCCACACUGGGACUGAGACACGGCCCAGACUCCUACGGGAGGCAGCAGUGGGGAAUAUUGCACAAUGGGCGGAAGCCUGAUGCAGCGACGCCGCGUGAGGGAUGACGGCCUUCGGGUUGUAAACCUCUUUCAGUAGGGAAGAAGCGAGAGUGACGGUACCUGCAGAAGAAGCGCCGGCUAACUACGUGCCAGCAGCCGCGGUAAUACGUAGGGCGCAAGCGUUGUCCGGAAUUAUUGGGCGUAAAGAGCUCGUAGGCGGUUUGUCGCGUCUGCUGUGAAAGCCCGGGGCUCAACCCCGGGUCUGCAGUGGGUACGGGCAGACUAGAGUGCAGUAGGGGAGACUGGAAUUCCUGGUGUAGCGGUGAAAUGCGCAGAUAUCAGGAGGAACACCGAUGGCGAAGGCAGGUCUCUGGGCUGUUACUGACGCUGAGGAGCGAAAGCAUGGGGAGCGAACAGGAUUAGAUACCCUGGUAGUCCAUGCCGUAAACGUUGGGCACUAGGUGUGGGGGACAUUCCACGUUUUCCGCGCCGUAGCUAACGCAUUAAGUGCCCCGCCUGGGGAGUACGGCCGCAAGGCUAAAACUCAAAGGAAUUGACGGGGGCCCGCACAAGCGGCGGAGCAUGCGGAUUAAUUCGAUGCAACGCGAAGAACCUUACCAAGGCUUGACAUUCACCGGACCGCCCCAGAGAUGGGGUUUCCCUUCGGGGCUGGUGGACAGGUGGUGCAUGGUUGUCGUCAGCUCGUGUCGUGAGAUGUUGGGUUAAGUCCCGCAACGAGCGCAACCCUCGUUCUAUGUUGCCAGCACGUGAUGGUGGGGACUCAUAGGAGACUGCCGGGGUCAACUCGGAGGAAGGUGGGGAUGACGUCAAAUCAUCAUGCCCCUUAUGUCUUGGGCUUCACGCAUGCUACAAUGGCCGGUACAAAGGGUUGCGAUACUGUGAGGUGGAGCUAAUCCCAAAAAGCCGGUCUCAGUUCGGAUUGAGGUCUGCAACUCGACCUCAUGAAGUCGGAGUCGCUAGUAAUCGCAGAUCAGCAACGCUGCGGUGAAUACGUUCCCGGGCCUUGUACACACCGCCCGUCAAGUCACGAAAGUUGGUAACAC
Molecule: ribosomal RNA, 1327 nt
Filed under: Kocuria sp.
Lineage: Bacteria; Bacillati; Actinomycetota; Actinomycetes; Micrococcales; Micrococcaceae
Description: bacterial SSU rRNA
Rfam family: Bacterial small subunit ribosomal RNA
Source: RNAcentral